GGUCGCUUGUUGGUCAGAGUUUUGACAGAAAAGCGCCUCUGCUCUCUGGACUCCAGAAGGGGGACUGACCUUCCCUCUGUUAGGAUGCCUCAGGCCUUUUCUUGCCAGGGGGCCGGGGAGAAAGAGGUUUCUUUUGGGGGGAAGAUGCCAGAAUACGGCCUAAAAGAACAAUGAGAUCCCAGCACAGCCCCGCCCCGAGCUCUGCUGCCUGUCUCCUGCAGUGGAUCGCCCACGUUCCAGCAGCCGCGUUCACCGUGUGACAGGUUGGGAAGCACUGUCACACCAGCUUCAACACCCCUGUGAGCCCGAGCUGGGGGAGGAGAGUCACCCCACAGAUCCGACGAGGAAAGCCAGACUCAGAGAAGGCGAGGCCUUGCCCAUGUACCAGCAGCCGCUCCUGGAGUCCAGGGUGGCCAGACUGGAGGGUCUUGUCUGGUCCUGUGAGUCCAGGCCUCCACCGAUACUGGAAAACGAGCUCGGACUUCGGAGAGGCGUGUAGUCUACUAUCUACUGCUUGCUGAAUGGCCUCACCCCUGCAAUCCUUAGUUUCCUCGUCUGAAUAACAGAGGUACGCGCUUAACAGAAUGCCUGGCCCACAGUAACCGGUUGUUCAACACAUUGGAGACACUACAUUUGUUUGUGUUUAGAGUUGCUGGGCUGACCAUGGUUAAGAGCUUGAAGUCUGGAUUCGGAUUCCCUGGGUUAAAAUCCUGGAACUACUUCUUAUUAGCACAGGAAGGCGUUCCCAUGGCAACCUCCUGGCGACACAAAACAGCCAUUCCUCCCAGAAUGGGCAGCCUUCUUCCAGUCUCCUGGAGAAGCCACCAGCAGUGGAGCCCCGCAGAGCCCUUAGCACUCUGGACAGAAGACCACAGUCCGCGGGCAGCCGCCUCUCUAACUGGCCCGUCCCAGGGCUUCGCUCUGGAGGAUGCGGCUGGAUGGGAGUUUAUUCACUUUAAUGUAUAUUUAUCGAGGGCCUGUGAUAGCACACAAGUGCUGGCUGGGGACCCAGCAAUGGAGAAGACAGAUAGAGCUUGCCCUCAGGGCCUAAAAUUCUAGUUGGCUUCUAUUCAAGAAAAGGGAAAAGGAACAAAACCAUUUCAGCCAGUGCCAAGCUCUGAGAAGGGAGUGAAACAGGGCCACACAGAGAGGGAGACUGAGGAGGGGCCAGGAGUCCCUUGUGGAGAUGCCGUCUGCGGUGAGCCCCAAAUGCACAGAGGAACCCAGGCACCCAAGACCCUGGGGGGCGUGCGUCCAGGCAGAGGGGACAGUGAGUGCAAAGGUCCUAAGGCAGGAAGGAGCUUGAGUGUUUGAAGAACAGGCAGAGGCUGGAAGGGCUGCAGUGUGGCACCAGUGAGGGUCUGUGAGCUGAGCUCAGGGGUUGGGACUUUAUUUUAACUGUGAUGGGCAGCCAUUUGGGGGGUUUUAAGCAGGGUAGAGGCAUGGUCCGAUCCAAGUUUUUAAGCUAUUUUUUGGAUUGCUUUGGGGC
Molecule: long non-coding RNA, 1489 nt
Organism: Equus quagga
Lineage: Eukaryota; Metazoa; Chordata; Mammalia; Perissodactyla; Equidae
Exons: 4
Source: RefSeq, a predicted model, not a curated record